RNAcentral lists this ribosomal RNA (253 nucleotides) under uncultured bacterium. RNAcentral describes it as "partial 16S ribosomal RNA". It matches the Rfam family "Bacterial small subunit ribosomal RNA", at positions 524 to 776 of the family's 1533-position model. The record is from RNAcentral.
UACGAAGGGGGCUAGCGUUGCUCGGAAUCACUGGGCGUAAAGGGCGCGUAGGCGGCCAUUCAAGUCGGAGGUGAAAGCCCAGGGCUCAACCCUGGAAUUGCCUUCGAUACUGUCUGGCUAGAGACCGGAAGAGGUAAGUGGAACUGCGAGUGUAGAGGUGAAAUUCGUAGAUAUUCGCAAGAACACCGGUGGCGAAGGCGGCCAACUGGACCAUUACUGACGCUGAGGCGCGAAAGCGUGGGGAGCAAACAGG